Molecule: long non-coding RNA, 1312 nt
Filed under: Chinchilla lanigera (long-tailed chinchilla)
Lineage: Eukaryota; Metazoa; Chordata; Mammalia; Rodentia; Chinchillidae
Description: lncRNA (ENSCLAG00000028026.1)
Source: RNAcentral
UAUUUCUCAAGUCCAGAAAUUCUGUCUUACUUUCUCUAAACAACUUUGCGUGCACAAUUAACUGCUAGCAUUGUGGCUAAUUGUGACUAAUUGCAAGAUAGGCUAAUUGUGACCCAAAGGAGCCGUUUUCUCCCCUGUAAAGAACAAGCUGCCUACUUCAUAUGCAAAUAGCAGAGGAGAUCCAUAAAUUACUUGUGCUCACACAACUGCACAUAUACAUAGACCAAGGUAAUUUACUCUCCCCAGCUAAAGCAUCUUGAUCAUUCACACUAUGAAGAUGUAAUGAGGAGACAUCACCAAGUACUCAGCGAGAUCUCCCACCCAGGAUUACUCUCAGCAAGAUAUGUAGAAGGCACUGCAUUCAAGGUUCAGAUUGUUGAACCCAGAAUUUAGUCCUGGAGUUCAAGGUUCUGCAACUAAAUCCUCUGAGGACAUCCAAGGAUAACCAGGAAAUCGGAAACUUACGCUGGUAAUAGCCUACUAUUCAACCUCUAAAGAGACAGACUUCCAAGCCAAGGUGCUAAUUUGGUAUCAGACUACAGGCGAUCCAACUGGUCAAGAGCCAGUGCUGGGGUGUGGCCUCCGAGCGCUACAUUAAUACAGAGGAAACCCUUCAACCUGAAUAUUAUUUGGUAAGCAAGUAACAAGAGCACAGGAAGUUAGAAUUUGCUCACAGUAUCGGGACCCAAGAACCUUCUCUUUUCCCUCUGGAGGUUCAAGAUUUGAGUCUGAGAAAUAAAUGGGCAGAAGACACAAGAAGACACACAUGUUUCCUACAUGUGCGGGGGCACUGCAGGAAGUAUCUCCUAGUAUGCACAGCAGGAAUGAACAAGCUUUUUAAAAGGUAAUCUUCAUACACAUAAAGCAGGUGUCGUGUGGGCAAUGAAGACGCGAGCCCAAGGAGCCCCAGAGCCACUUCGCCACCUGCACAAACUGAGACGAGUGUGGAUUCUGCUGUUAUCUCACUCUACCUCACAGUUUCCAUUUGACAGCAGGUGGAACAUAUUUUGAAGACAAAUGAAAUGACUGAGAGAGUGUUGGGAGCGGCUGAAGCUGGAAAUUGGUCAUAUAUGUGAGGGCAGGACAGAGCCAGAGUGCCUGAAGCAGUCAAGCUCCCUCAGUCUUGAGGAAAGCAUCCUGCCUGGACAAUUUCAGUCAUCAGUCGCUAGGCAACCUUGUGUCUCAUGAUACUAACUUUGCAAGAGUAUAAAUAAACGUUCCUACUAUUGUCAUUAGGUCCUCUCACCCAUCCAGUAAAGAGGCCUCCACCUGACCCAGCUCUUGUCUCUUGUCUAUCUUUUCCUCAUUCCUG